AGCUCCAAUAGCGUAUAUUAAACUUGUUGCGGUUAAAAAGCUCGUAGUUGGAUUUCUGCUGAGGACGACCGGUCCACCCUCUGGGUGAGCAUCUGGCUCUGCCUUGGCAUCUUCUUGGGGAACGUAGCUGCACUUGACUGUGCGGCGCGGUACCCAGGACUUUUACUUUGAGGAAAUUAGAGUGUUUCAAGCAGGCACACGCCUUGAAUAUAUUAGCAUGGAAUAAUAAGAUAGGAUCUCGGUUCUAUUUUGUUGGUUUCUAGAACUGAGAUAAUGAUUAAUAGGAACUGCUGGGGGCAUUCGUAUUUAACUGUCAGAGGUGAAAUUCUUGGAUUUGUUAAAGACGAACUACUGCGAAAGCAUUUGCCAAGGAUGUUUUCAUUGAUCAAGAACGAAAGUA
This 400-nucleotide ribosomal RNA is filed under the name phytoplankton environmental sample. RNAcentral describes it as "partial small subunit ribosomal RNA". It matches the Rfam family "Eukaryotic small subunit ribosomal RNA", at positions 587 to 991 of the family's 1831-position model. The record is from RNAcentral.